GUUCUUUGUCAUGCAAUCGAUGGCCUAAUUCCGUGCACCUACGUCGCACCGUUCCAGGAACCCCAUCAAGCGUGUGGCGGAAAGGUCCCUAUAUUGGACCGCAGCACUAUAGCACUCAGAUGCCAGUCAAGUGUUCGACCAGUCCCAAUCCUCCUCGAGACUGUUCGAUCGACCAAUUUCGUUCCACCUUCGAUUUGUCCCCAUCACCGAUCCAAUCGCCGACCACAACGAUCCGCCAAAGAAAAGAAAUAUCAAUCCACUUCCAGUGUUGCCACCUUUGCUAAUAGAAGCAACACCAACCUCUGAAAUUAUUUCUCCAACACUAUUGGAUCUAUUGGUGGUUCGCUACGCGUCUUCUGGAAAACGUCGGCCAUUGGAGCAAAAAUGUGCGGAGCUUUUUGCCCCCCAGUCGUCUCUUCCAGCAACAAUGGCGAAGAGGUCGAGCGAUCAAGACCGAGUGGAUCCGAUGUCACGUGGGCACGCGUCCCGAUUUUUAUAAUUCGUGGCUCAUCUUGAAUAGCGCGGCACUUAUAGCGAAUUCGUAGGCGUUAAAUAAUGUUUCCUUAGUCAAUUUACUGUUAGUGCCUGUGUUCGAUAUAACCUGCGUCGGCCAGUACGGAUCGCAUAUUUACGAGCGUGCCGUAAAGCUCGCUUAGACGCGCGCGUUGCGCUAUUCGCUACAAUAAAUUGGAGCAGGCCAACUUGUCUCGUGCUGUAGGUUUUACGGAAUGAUCAUCCUUAUUGGCGGCGAUAACGAUCUUACGUCCAAAUAAUUUACAACGCUCGAGUUGGUGCGUGUGCGUUGAAACGAUACGGAGAAGCAUCUCUUCUCAUUAUGCACGUUCGAAAGUAAAUUAUAUUUUCAUUGUUUUGGAAUUGUGUGGUACCUACGUCUCACAGAGUAGCGUAGUGUGAGUCUAGGAUUAUUUA
This is a long non-coding RNA of Hylaeus anthracinus, 930 nucleotides long. RefSeq lists it as uncharacterized. The record is from RefSeq and is a predicted model, not a curated record. The transcript is spliced from 5 exons. Lineage: Eukaryota; Metazoa; Arthropoda; Insecta; Hymenoptera; Colletidae.